GGCUAACGCUGGCGGCGUGUCUUAGCCAUGCAAGUCGAGCGGACUUAUGGGGUAACUUAUAAGUCAGCGGCGGACGGCGGAGUAACACGUAGCUAACCUACCCUCUGGACGGGGAUAACCUACCGAAAGGUGGGCUAAUACCCGAUGUAGUCAUCCUGUAUAGGGGUGAUGAAAGGUGGGCUUCUGUUUACAAGCUCAUGCUGGAGGAGGGGGCUGCGGCCUAUCAGGUGGUUGGUAGGGUAAUAGCCUACCAAGCCGAUGACGGGUAGCCGGCCUGAGAGGGUGACCGGCCCGAGGGGCACUGAGAUACGGGUCCCACUCCUACGGGAGGCAGCAGGCUAGAAAUUUGGGCAAUGGGGGAAACCCUGACCCAGUGACGCCGCGUGCAGGAAGGAGCCCUUCGGGGUGUAAACUGCUGUCGUGUAGGGAGAAGGGUACUAAGGUGAACAAUCUUAGUACUUGACGGUACUACAGGAGGAAGCCCAGGCUAACCUCGUG
Molecule: ribosomal RNA, 498 nt
Filed under: uncultured bacterium
Lineage: Bacteria
Description: bacterial SSU rRNA
Rfam family: Bacterial small subunit ribosomal RNA
Source: RNAcentral